GAUGAACGCUGGCGGCGUGCCUAAUACAUGCAAGUAGAACGCUGAAGGAGGAGCUUGCUCUUCUGGAUGAGUUGCGAACGGGUGAGUAACGCGUAGGUAACCUGCCUGGUAGCGGGGGAUAACUAUUGGAAACGAUAGCUAAUACCGCAUGACAACAGUUAUUGCAUGAUAACUGUUUAAAAGGGGCAACUGCUCCACUACCAGAUGGACCUGCGUUGUAUUAGCUAGUUGGUGAGGUAACGGCUCACCAAGGCGACGAUACAUAGCCGACCUGAGAGGGUGAUAGGCCACACUGGGACUGAGACACGGCCCAGACUACUACGGGAGGCAGCAGUAGGGAAUCUUCGGCAAUGGACGGAAGUCUGACCGAGCAACGCCGCGUGAGUGAAGAAGGUUUUCGGAUCGUAAAGCUCUGUUGUAAGAGAAGAACGAGUGUGAGAGUGGAAAGUUCACACUGUGACGGUAUCUUACCAGAAAGGGACGGCUAACUACGUG
RNAcentral lists this ribosomal RNA (495 nucleotides) under uncultured bacterium. RNAcentral's name for it is "partial 16S ribosomal RNA". It matches the Rfam family "Bacterial small subunit ribosomal RNA", at positions 28 to 507 of the family's 1533-position model. The record is from RNAcentral.